GAUGAACGCUGGCGGCGUGCCUAAUACAUGCAAGUCGAGCGAACGGACGAGAAGCUUGCUUCUCUGAUGUUAGCGGCGGACGGGUGAGUAAAACGUGGAUAACCUACCUAUAAGACUGGGAUAACUUCGGGAAACCGGAGCUAAUACCGGAUAAUAUUUUGAACCGCAUGGUUCAAAAGUGAAAGACGGUCUUGCUGUCACUUAUAGAUGGAUCCGCGCUGCAUUAGCUAGUUGGUAAGGUAACGGCUUACCAAGGCAACGAUGCAUAGCCGACCUGAGAGGGUGAUCGGCCACACUGGAACUGAGACGCGGUCCAGACUCCUACGGGAGGCAGCAGUAGGGAAUCGUCCGCAAUGGGCGAAAGCCUGACGGAGCAAUGCCGCGUGAUUGAUGAAGUUCGUCGGAUCGUAAAACUCUGUUAUUAGGGAAGAACAGAUGUGUAAGUAACUGUGCACAUCUUGACGGUACCUAAUCAGAAAGCCACGGCUAACUACGUG
This 497-nucleotide ribosomal RNA is filed under the name uncultured bacterium. Its description in RNAcentral is "partial 16S ribosomal RNA". It matches the Rfam family "Bacterial small subunit ribosomal RNA", at positions 28 to 507 of the family's 1533-position model. The record is from RNAcentral.